The sequence is a regulatory RNA element, 52 nucleotides long. It matches the Rfam family "serC leader". From Rfam's summary of the family: This family is a putative regulatory RNA structure that is found upstream of the serC-serA operon in some alpha-proteobacteria. The final stem of the structure overlaps the ribosome binding site of the serC reading frame. The record is from Rfam.
CAGUGGGACACCCUUCCCCAACGAAGGGCAAUUAUCUGUAAGGAUAGAUAUU